GCGCCGAUUCCAAGACUAGUCGUUGUCAAGAGCCUCAGGUGCUAGGAUGGCUUUCUUAGGAUUCCCCCACUGCUCUGAGGACCUACUUGGUCCAAUCCUAGGAAGAGUCUGAGAAACAUGUGGAGCUACAAAGCUUCAGCCAAGCCCAGCAUAUUCAGCUAAACUUCAGAACCCUUCACAUGUGCAAGCAAGGGCAGCUUGCAAUAGCUCAGCUCUACAGAUGUGUGGGAAUCAAUGCUUAUUGUUAUAUGACACAGUGUGUGUGGUUGCUUACUCCACAUCAAAAGCAAAGCCACCGUUUGAACCAUGCAAUAUGAUAGAAAGAGCCCAUGCCUCAAAGUUAACAACCCUGGCAGCGAAAUCCAGCCUGGAUUAAGAGAUGCAUUUCUUGAAACUCAGAGGACAAUGGCAUCUAUCUUACAGGAUCCUAGAGGAACUAAAAGAGAUCUGAGGUACAAAGCUUGACAGCAUCUCUCACUGGAGCUCAUCAAUUUAGCGCUACUGGCUGACCAGCAAGCAACAGGGAUACCCCUGUCUCCACCUCCCAGAACUGGGAUUAUAGACGUGGUCUGGCCAUUGCACCCAUGAACUCAGAGCAAUUGUGGUUGCCUUCACAAGACUUACACAAAAUGGGACAUGUCAACAUCCAAGAGUGAAUGAGGGAAGGAACUCAUGAAGCCCCAUCUCUCCCUAAGGAGCUCUUGGCACUUAAUGAUGACUAGAAUUAACAAAUGAGACGCAGCAGUACACGCUGGAGGCUGAGGCAGGAAGGUUGUUCCAACCUUUCUUGAACAACCAAGAUAGACCAAAAUCACAAAACCACAGAAAUCAUAUGUGUAAAUUCAAAGAACUGAAAGACUUGCAAGGAAACGCCUAGGUACCAAGAUGGCUGCUGUACACAGGUAGAGGUGGAGGCGAACUUGACGAAUGAUACUGUUAAUUUCUAUAGUAACCCCUAACAUGCUGUGGCGUUAGAUGAUAUAUUUGACUAUAUCCCAGAGCAGUCAUGAAAUAAGGAAAUGACAUAGCUCAGACCAACCUUGCUCAAUAGAACAUAAUAGGAACCACAUUCGCAGUUCUCUGUGUUCCAGUAGCCACAUAAAGAAGUAAGAGAAACAGUUGAAAUUAAUUUUAAUAAUACAUUUUAUUUCAUCCAGUGGAAAUGAGAUAUUAUUUUAGUGUGGAACCAAUAUUUUAAAAUUAACAAGAUAUUUUAUAUUCUUCCUUCCUUAUACCCCUGUAAGCCUGGUGUGUAUUUUAUUAAAUGAGCACAAUUCAGUUUAAACGCUGAAAUCUUUAGCAAGGCUUGAUUUUCCAGCUCAUAAAACUUACAGUUGAAACACUCUCGAGUUAUUUCAUACCUACUUCAUCCAGAAACUGAAGUGCGUGUAUGUCAGUUUUUAAACUGAAUUAAAAAUUCAGCUCUCAGUUGCAUAGCUCAUAUUUCAAGUGCCCAACAACCACAUGUGGCUACCAUAUUGGACAGCAUUGGUCAGAUAAUUUGGCCACCCACUUCUACCCUUACAAGCAUGUUUGGCUCAUCAGACAAAACAAGAGAAUAUCAUACUGUUUAGAGAAAGGCCAUCAGAACAUGAGAAAUAAUAAUCAAAUAUGACUUAUUUUUAUAAAGAGUUUUCAUGCAGAUGGCAUGGCAGCAACUAGAAAGGAGUAAGAGUCACACCGUUUUGGAAAGACUAAAGAGAAACAAACACUGACCAUCUCCCUGUUCCAAGCGAAAGCUGUUGUCAUAUCUUCAGAAUAAUGUGGACAUAAACAUAGUUGACAAAUAAAACAUUUCUGAAGCCCAAAACCUCAUAUUGAAGAAGGGUUCCUUUCUCACAACAUCCUUCUGCUUCAAAUUUUCCUACAUCGGUGGCUGUUCCAAGACCAUACCCCCUGAUGACAUCACCCCUACCCAAAAGAAAAAAAAAAACUAUGAAAACAUUAACUAUGCCCACCUUUCACCUAUCUCAAAAAAUGAAUAAAUAAAAGUCAAG
Molecule: long non-coding RNA, 1997 nt
Organism: Rattus norvegicus (Norway rat)
Lineage: Eukaryota; Metazoa; Chordata; Mammalia; Rodentia; Muridae
Source: RefSeq, a predicted model, not a curated record